This is a long non-coding RNA of Cyanistes caeruleus (blue tit), 231 nucleotides long. RefSeq lists it as uncharacterized. The record is from RefSeq and is a predicted model, not a curated record. Lineage: Eukaryota; Metazoa; Chordata; Aves; Passeriformes; Paridae.
CAAAUGCAGAGGGCAUCCUGUUGCCUGGCAUGACCCUGACAGCUCCUACCCCCAAGAGUUUGAGAUCUUGACGUGUGGCUCCAUUCUUCUUCAGCGUUUGGAAACUACUCAGCAUACAUCCAGGCUACUGUAAACAUGUAAUAAGAAAACUUCUUUACCAUUCCUCUUCUUGGGCUGACCUUUCCAUCAGGCUCCACUCUUCCUGUGUUUUUCUGCUCACAGCCUCAGGAC